Callorhinus ursinus (northern fur seal) is the source of this 390-nucleotide non-coding RNA. Lineage: Eukaryota; Metazoa; Chordata; Mammalia; Carnivora; Otariidae. The record is from RefSeq and is a predicted model, not a curated record.
CAUGGUCAGGUUCUGGUGAAGGCCCUCUUGCUGGUUGCAGGCUGCUGACUUCUCGCUUGCCUUUUUGCAGAGUCUCCACCAUUAGCCUUUUGGAGUGAGCCGUCUGUAUCCUGCCAGGACCCUGACCGAUUCAACACCGUAAUCUGUGCAUAGCUGGUGUGGCCCAUAUGCAGCAGCACAGUGUGGCCCUUUCAGCCCCAGAGCUGCAAGAUGGAUAGUCUACCUCCAGGCAUCAAGGUUGGAUUUCAGACAGGAAGAAAUGGCAAAAGGCACCAAAUAGCUCUUUGCCAGGAAAAUAAUAGCUUUUUAGGAAGUGACAGACAGCAGGAGAGUCGGGAAGUGGAUAAUCCCCCUUGUGAUGCUGGAUGGUGAGAAGACGAUGUAGCCGAC